RNAcentral lists this ribosomal RNA (490 nucleotides) under uncultured bacterium. RNAcentral describes it as "partial 16S ribosomal RNA". It matches the Rfam family "Bacterial small subunit ribosomal RNA", at positions 30 to 507 of the family's 1533-position model. The record is from RNAcentral.
AUUGAACGCUGGCGGCAGGCCUAACACAUGCCAGUCGAACGGUAACAGGAAACAGCUUGCUGUUUCGCUGACGAGUGGCGGACGGGUGAGUAAUGUCUGGGAAACUGCCUGAUGGAGGGGGAUAACUACUGGAAACGGUAGCUAAUACCGCAUAACGUCGCAAGACCAAAGAGGGGGACCUUCGGGCCUCUUGCCAUCAGAUGUGCCCAGAUGGGAUUAGCUAGUAGGUGGGGUAACGGCUCACCUAGGCGACGAUCCCUAGCUGGUCUGAGAGGAUGACCAGCCACACUGGAACUGAGACACGGUCCAGACCCCUACGGGAGGCAGCAGUGGGGAAUAUUGCACAAUGGGCGCAAGCCUGAUGCAGCCAUGCCGCGUGUAUGAAGAAGGCCUUCGGGUUGUAAAGUACUUUCAGCGGGGAGGAAGGGAGUAAAGUUAAUACCUUUGCUCAUUGACGUUACCCGCAGAAGAAGCACCGGCUAACUCCGUG